This 1145-nucleotide ribosomal RNA is filed under the name Rhodococcus sp. (in: high G+C Gram-positive bacteria). Its description in RNAcentral is "bacterial SSU rRNA". It matches the Rfam family "Bacterial small subunit ribosomal RNA", at positions 32 to 1210 of the family's 1533-position model. The record is from RNAcentral. Lineage: Bacteria; Bacillati; Actinomycetota; Actinomycetes; Mycobacteriales; Nocardiaceae.
GACGUUGCGGGCGUGCUUACACAUGCAGUCGAACGAUGAAGCCCAGCUUGCUGGGUGGAUUAGUGGCGAACGGGUGAGUAACACGUGGGUGAUCUGCCCUGCACUUCGGGAUAAGCCUGGGAAACUGGGUCUAAUACCGGAUAGGACCUCGGGAUGCAUGUUCCGGGGUGGAAAGGUUUUCCGGUGCAGGAUGGGCCCGCGGCCUAUCAGCUUGUUGGUGGGGUAACGGCCCACCAAGGCGACGACGGGUAGCCGGCCUGAGAGGGCGACCGGCCACACUGGGACUGAGACACGGCCCAGACUCCUACGGGAGGCAGCAGUGGGGAAUAUUGCACAAUGGGCGCAAGCCUGAUGCAGCGACGCCGCGUGAGGGAUGACGGCCUUCGGGUUGUAAACCUCUUUCAGUACCGACGAAGCGCAAGUGACGGUAGGUACAGAAGAAGCACCGGCCAACUACGUGCCAGCAGCCGCGGUAAUACGUAGGGUGCGAGCGUUGUCCGGAAUUACUGGGCGUAAAGAGCUCGUAGGCGGUUUGUCGCGUCGUCUGUGAAAACCCGCAGCUCAACUGCGGGCUUGCAGGCGAUACGGGCAGACUUGAGUACUGCAGGGGAGACUGGAAUUCCUGGUGUAGCGGUGAAAUGCGCAGAUAUCAGGAGGAACACCGGUGGCGAAGGCGGGUCUCUGGGCAGUAACUGACGCUGAGGAGCGAAAGCGUGGGUAGCGAACAGGAUUAGAUACCCUGGUAGUCCACGCCGUACACGGUGGGCGCUAGGUGUGGGUUUCCUUCCACGGGAUCCGUGCCGUAGCUAACGCAUUAAGCGCCCCGCCUGGGGAGUACGGCCGCAAGGGCUAAAACUCAAAGGAAUUGACGGGGCCCGCACAAGCGGCGGAGCAUGUGGAUUACUCGAUGCACGCGAGAUCUUUACCUGGGUUUGACAUACACCGGACCGCCUCCAGAGAUGGGGUUCCUUGUGAUCGUGUACAGGUGGUGCAUGCCUGUCCGUCAGCUCAGUGUCUGAGAAUGUAGGUAGUCCCGCAUCGAGCGCACCAUUGUCCUGGAUGCAGAAGUAUGGUGCGAACUCGCUAGAAACUGGCAGUCAAUCGGAGUAAGGUGGACACUCAGUUCCUUAGACCCGUAAUGUUCG